GAUGAACGCUAGCGGCAGGCUUAAUACAUGCAAGUCGAGGGGCAACAGGGGUAGCAAUACCUGCUGGCGACCGGCAAACGGGUGCGGAACACGUACAGAACCUUCCUUUAAGCGGGGGAUAGCCCGGAGAAAUCCGGAUUAAUACCCCAUAGUAAUAUUGACUGGCAUCAGUUGGUAUUUAAAGAUUUAUCACUUAAAGAUGGCUGUGCGGCUGAUUAGGUAGUUGGUGCGGGUAACGGCCCACCAAGCCAGCGAUCAGUAACUGGUGUGAGAGCACGACCAGUCACACGGGCACUGAGACACGGGCCCGACUCCUACGGGAGGCAGCAGUAAGGAAUAUUGGUCAAUGGACGCAAGUCUGAACCAGCCAUGCCGCGUGGGGGAUGAAGGUCCUCUGGAUUGUAAACUUCUUUUAUUUGGGAAGAAAUGUGAAAAUUCUUUUUCACUUGACGGUACCAGAUGAAUAAGCACCGGCUAACUCCGUGCCAGCCGCCGCCGUAAC
Molecule: ribosomal RNA, 502 nt
Filed under: uncultured bacterium
Lineage: Bacteria
Description: bacterial SSU rRNA
Rfam family: Bacterial small subunit ribosomal RNA
Source: RNAcentral